RNAcentral lists this ribosomal RNA (770 nucleotides) under uncultured Actinomyces sp. RNAcentral describes it as "bacterial SSU rRNA". It matches the Rfam family "Bacterial small subunit ribosomal RNA", at positions 28 to 776 of the family's 1533-position model. Lineage: Bacteria; Bacillati; Actinomycetota; Actinomycetes; Actinomycetales; Actinomycetaceae. The record is from RNAcentral.
GACGAACGCUGGCGGCGUGCUUAACACAUGCAAGUCGAACGGUGAAGCGCCUUCCUUUUGGUGGGUGUGGAUGAGUGGCGAACGGGUGAGUAACACGUGAGUAACCUGCCCCCUUCUUCUGGAUAACCGCAUGAAAGUGUGGCUAAUACGGGAUAUUCUGGGUCUGUCGCAUGGCGGGUCUGGGAAAGAUGCGCCUUUGGGUGUUUUCGGUGGGGGAUGGGCUCGCGGCCUAUCAGCUUGUUGGUGGGGUGAUGGCCUACCAAGGCGGUGACGGGUAGCCGGCCUGAGAGGGUGGACGGUCACACUGGGACUGAGACACGGCCCAGACUCCUACGGGAGGCAGCAGUGGGGAAUAUUGCACAAUGGGCGCAAGCCUGAUGCAGCGACGCCGCGUGAGGGAUGGAGGCCUUCGGGUUGUAAACCUCUUUCGCCAGUGAAGCAGGCCUGCUCCUUGUGGGUGGGUUGACGGUAGCUGGAUAAGAAGCGCCGGCUAACUACGUGCCAGCAGCCGCGGUAAUACGUAGGGCGCGAGCGUUGUCCGGAAUUAUUGGGCGUAAAGAGCUCGUAGGCGGCUGGUCGCGUCUGUCGUGAAAUCCUCUGGCUUAACUGGGGGCUUGCGGUGGGUACGGGCCGGCUUGAGUGCGGUAGGGGAGACUGGAACUCCUGGUGUAGCGGUGGAAUGCGCAGAUAUCAGGAAGAACACCGGUGGCGAAUGCGGGUCUCUGGGCCGUCACUGACGCUGAGGAGCGAAAGCGUGGGGAGCGAACACG